GAGGGCCGUAAAGCAGCGCAGAAAAAAAUUUUUAUUGUUGCUCCCUGCCGCACAAAAGUGCCCCGCGUGUCGAGUCGGGGGAGCAACACAGGCGCACACGCCACCGGGGGGGGGCACGCGCGUGACAUGCAAAGGGGCCCCCCGCCUCCUGCCCCCUACUCCUCCUUCUUCCCUCACAACGGUCACUGCUGCCUCGGCUGCUGCCAUGCCGAGUAGACGCGCUUCGUCAGGUCGGCUCCCUUUCUUUUUUUGUUUGCUCUCAUCUUGCUGUUGGUGUGGGUGGGCCGCUCGCACGCGCCUAGAGGAACGUUUGGGGGGCGGCGUGUGGAGGUUCAUCUUUUUCAUCACCUGCGGCACCCAAAGAUUGUACAUGCAUACAAGGGCAAUAGAAGCACUUCCCCCUCCCCCUCCUCCUACGCCUCCCCACAUAGAGUCGCAUACACGUGGGCGCUGCUUACAUAGAGGAAGAUAAGAAACCCGCCACCACGAGGAAGCAGCGGCACCGCCCUCUCCCUCCCCCCCUCCCCUGUAAUCGUUGUGCUCUGCUCCAAUUUUCGCUUUUCGUUGUUGCCAAAUUUUUGAGCUGAAUGAAAUCACAGCCGCACCGCAUCUCGCCGCAGAGGAUGUCUGCUUCGCUGAGUCGUGCAGCCGACCCGGCAGCACGAGCCACGUUGUCCCCCCCUCUUCCGCCACGUCAGAGCAUCGUGCACGGGCCGCUCCCCACCACGACGGUGAUCACCAUUGUAGAGGGGGAGGUAGCCGCGGACAAAAUCAGCGGCCACCGCCGCCCCGGCAGUGGUAGCAGUGCCACUGUAUCUGCAUCCAUGCGAGACAGGGGCAGCGGCCCUGCUCCGCGGCAAAGCCCUCGGCGACUCCAGCCACCGCCGCAGCACGCACGACGUGCUGCAUCCGUCGUGAAUGACGAAGGUGAAACGGACACCCGCGAGUUGCGGCAAACCCGCUCCCUCUUCCUCUGCGGCCGUGGCCUCCUCUCUCUGCGGCACAUCCAGCACCUGCCCGACAUGUUGUCGUUGCGCUUCCUCAGCGUCCACAUGAACAGCAUCAAGGAGCUCGAGAGUGGGUGCCUGCGCACGCUGCGACACUUGGUGGAACUUGACUUGAGCGCGAAUGAACUGCGAGAGAUACCACCGGGGUGCUGGGACGGGCUUGGACAUCUCGAGCGCCUGAACCUGUCCAGCAACCGGCUGACCCGCCUCGGUCCGGCCGCCUUCAGCUCUCUCGCCUCGCUGCAGUGGCUUUCCCUCGGCUUUAACAGCAUCAUGGAGUUAGCAGGGCUGCGCUCAGUGCCGGCGUCCGCGCCGCUGGCCUACGUGGAUCUGUGCGCCAACCGUAUCGCGACGCUGGACGAGGUCAUAGACGCCCUCACGCCUCACAGAACGCAUCUGCAGGAGCUGCGGCUGGAGUCGCCAUCAUCGCGGUCUUCCAUGACGACAGCGGCGGCAGGCAGCGGCGCCUUUUCUCCGCCCACCACGAUGAACGUGUCUCUCAACGACAGUCAGGACGGUGCAGCCGCCUACUGGCCCAUCGAGGAGAACCCAUGCUGCCUCGCCACGGGCCCUGACACGCAGGACGCGGGCAGCGGUAGCGUAGACGUCAGUGGCGGGGCUGCUGGUGGGCAGGGCAACGGCCGAGUUCACGGCGCCGUCGGCAGUUCACCUUCUGUUGCCAACUACGUGGAGCGGCUCCUGUCAUACUUCCCGCGCCUGCUCGUCGUGAACGGCUUCUCCUACGGCGUGGACCCGUUGCACGCCCUUCGCCAGCAGCGACGCUCUCAGGAGCCGGAAGUUCAGGAGUCGGGGACAAGCGCAGCUGAUGCCAAGGUUGCUGCGGCAGAUGUGUCACCCUUCGCUUCGCUGUGCAACACGGACAAGAGCGCGUGGGGCCGUUCUCUGCUCUGCGCGGGCGGUGCGGAGAGCCCACCGGAAGGGGUGGAGAGACUUGCCGACGGCACACCCGUCAGCGAGGCCUUUGCACGACUGCUGAGGAGACCACUGCCACACCUGCGAGGGUCGUCCUCUUCGCGAUCGCCAUCGUCGGCUUCGUCGGAGGGACCAAAGAAGCGGCGCCGCAGUCGAAACCGCCAUCGCACCGACAGCAGGCAUCAAACGCGCAGCUUAUCGCGGCCCCGUAGCCGCUCUUCUUCAUCUUCUCCUCUUCGAGAGUCGUCUCGGCAUGGCCAUUGUGCAGCGGCUGCACCCGCGGCAGCGACCCGAGCGGAGCAGGACGCGGGCUGGAUGCUGCCUUCAUUCAAGUCAGCAGCGCCUGCCGCGGCAAGCCCACUGCCACCGCAGCAGGACCCGCAAGCAGCAUCUCGAGAAACUCGAGAGGUGGGCGAAGAAAGCGUCGUCGCGGCUGGUGCUGCAAGCAAGAAGGAGGCGCCAUUCCGACAUGGCCGACGGGCCGCUGCCGCGAAGCCGCGCCGCGCUUCUCUGCGCCGUCGCUCGUCGUCAAACGCCUCGUCUCUCGCUACAUCGCCACUCUCCGGCGCUACUUCCUCUCCGUUCGCAGUGUCACCUUCGGCACCGCAAGAGCGUUAUCGCGAGCGCGAGCCCAAGACAGUAGUGUCGUCAUCGAGCAGAGCGACCCCGCAUGCACGCAAGCUGCGCUGCGAGGUAGCGACACUGACGUCGGCCACAGAAGCGUUUUGCACACCCUCUGCAACACCAUCAACGGGGCCGCGGAUGCCCUCUGCCGACAAGAGCUCCGACCUGGCUCCUUCUCUGAUGUCCCCUUCCCCCGCUGAUGUCACCGAUACCAGCGACAUCUCGCCGCCUGCCGCGGCAGCGCGUGGGCAAUGUGAGCAUCGCGGCAGCGACGGCGAGAAUCACCAGAAGAACGACAGACUUGUCGCUACCACAGGCAGUGGAACUGGCGUGCGUGUCGCUUCCAAGGACCGGGCGACUCUCGACCCGCCGCCGCCUCUUACAGGCGUCGGCUCAGCCGCGGCGCUGCGGUGGAAGCCGAAGCAGGUGUCCCGUGGGACCUGCACAGAGCAGGGCGCAGAGACGCUAUCGACGGUGUCGCGUGAUGCGGAGCUAGCGGCAAAGGUGGAUCAGUUGCAGGAGCAGCUUGCGCUCCGUACCACCACCAUCAGCGAUCUGCGUCGACACCUCGACCUCACCCGGACGCAGUACGUCGAGGGGCAGCGUGAGGCACAGCAGCGGCAGCAGCAGCUCCGCAGUCAGGUAUCCGCGCUGAAGGACGAGCUGGCGCGGCGGGCCGAGGAGGCGACAAUAUUGCAGCGCAAGCAGCAGGCGCAACUGAAUCGAGCCGUCGACUCUGUCAAAGCAGAGUGGGUGCGACGGCUCGAGGCGGCAGAGCAGCACAGCGCUGAGGCGUAUGCGGAGGCGACGGCAGCGUGGGAGGUGCGUCUAGCACGUGCCGAGGAACAGCAGCUGCAUAUGCAGCAGACGGUCGCUGUGAAGUCUGCGCAGCUUGCGACGCUCGAGCGGCAAACGCACGCUAUGGAGGCGGAGAUGCAGGCUAUUCGAGGCUGCUUUGUUACGCAGCAGCGCCACUGGGCUGCGCGGACUGGGCUGCUGCUCGCCGAGGCGGACAAGCGGCGCACGCUGGAAGCCGCGGCGGUAGCCUCACUUGCGCAACUGUGUCGCUCCUUCUCCGACGCAGCCGUACGCCUUCAUACAGAGUCGCUGCGCGAGGCUGAAAGAGGCCGAGCGCUCGCGGAGGAGGCGCUGCGAGAGCAGCAAGCCACGUGGAGGGCGCAGGUGGCCGCUUACGAGGACGCUAUGCGCCAUGCUGCGUCCGAAGUGCGCCAUGCUGUCGCGGGGCGGCACGGAGCAGCUUACUUGUCACCGCUUUCACCGACAUGUGCAUUGCCUGCCCUGCCCGAGGCGCCGCCGCUGUCUUUGGUCACCAUCCCAUCCCCGACGCUUGCAGGCGUGCCAGCCCCGCAGCACGAGCCGCUCGCGCUUAGCGACCAAAGCAGCAACAAGCAGGUCGUCAACGCACAAGCCGAUAUGAAAGAGAGGGUCGACAUGAAAGAGCGGACGCCGCUGGAGGUGGAGAGGACAGCUGCAGAUGGCAGUGCCCUGGUGUCGACAUCUACCACCGAGUCUCUACGUGUGGCCCAGGGAGAGGACAGUGGCUGCGACGCAGGUGCGGAAUGCGGGGCUGCUUCCAGUGAGCUGAAGCAGGUGGUUGGCGUGAAUGACAGGGGCACUCUGAUCGCUUACUGGCGGUGCGCGUGCGCGCGUGUCGAAGCGCAACUGCAUCGCGUGGAUGCUGCCCUGCACGUCGCCACUCUCACGCAGCAGUCCAUGGCGGCGGAGAACACACGUCUGCUCAGUCACGUCGAGGCACUAGAAGCAGAGAAGAAGGAGGCGCUGGCAGCCCGCCACUCCACGUCUGAGGCUGCCGUCCAGGAGCGGGACAACUUGCUGCGCACGCUGCACACAUUACGAGCUGACAUGGAGCGGAAGGACGCCGCCUUGGACGCGCUGGAGGAGGAGGCACGCGCGAAACUGAAUGAGAAGCGCCACCGCAUCGCCGAGCUCGAGGACGCUGUCGAGGCGCUCACAACGCAACAGGCGCGCGCAACAGAGGUGAACGUGUCCACGCGCGGACAGCUGGAGGCAGCGCAGGCGACGGUGACACGCCUGCAGCAGGAACUGGCCGACACGAAGGAGCGGUGCAAAGCGGUGGCUCAGCAGCAGGUGGAGCAGGUACCAGACCUAGAGCGGAAGCAGCGUGAGCUUUCCGAGCUGCUUGCCACCCGCAACGCCGAGGCCCACCAGCAUCAGCUGGAGAAGAAGGCACUGGUGCACGCGCUUACUAUCGCGCGAGAGCAGCUGGUGCGGCUGUACGAGUCACACCAGCUCCUCUGCAGUGCGCACGCGAGCGCCAGGGAGCAGAUCACGCAGCUACAGGCGAAGCUCGAUACAGCGCAGCGGCAGGUGCAUGAAGUCCAAGAGGCGACCCGCGCAAAGCAGAAGGCCACCUUCGAAGUGCUUUCACACUUGAUGACAAACAACACGCUCUAGCCGCACGAGAUGGGUGGGAAGGGAGGAGGAUGAGGGUGUGCGUGUGUGCGUGUGUGCGUGUGUGCGUGCUAAAUGAAGGCACAGCUUAUCCGUCUUUCCACAUCCUUUCUGUGUUUUGCACGCGUUUGCUGGGGCUGGAGCCAGCUCAUGCGCGCUGCGCGGAGACACCCACGCAAGACGCGAGACCGCACUGG
Molecule: unclassified non-coding RNA, 5215 nt
Filed under: Leishmania donovani
Lineage: Eukaryota; Euglenozoa; Kinetoplastea; Trypanosomatida; Trypanosomatidae
Description: gene:LdHU3.25.1180(CDS-product:Leucine_Rich_Repea t/Leucine_rich_repeat_putative)
Source: RNAcentral